CCUACGGGAGACAGCAGUGAGGAAUAUUGGUCAAUGGGCGCGAGCCUGAACCAGCCAAGUAGCGUGAAGGAUGACUGCCCUACGGGUUGUAAACUUCUUUUGUAAAGGAAUAAAGUGAAGCACUUGUACCUUUUUGUAUGUACUUUAUGAAUAAGGAUCGGAUAACCCCGUGCCAGCAGCGGAGGUACUACGGAGGAUGCGAGCGUUAUCCGGAUUUAUUGGGUUUAACGGGAGCGUAGAUGGGUUGUUAAGUAAGUUUUGAAAGUUUGCGGCUCAACCGGGAAAUUGCAAUUGAUACUGGCAGCCUAGAGUACAGUUGAGGGAGGCGGAAUUCGUGGUGUAGCGGUGAAAUGCGUAGAGAUCACGAGGAACUCCGAUUGCGAAGGCAGCUUACUAAAC
Molecule: ribosomal RNA, 399 nt
Filed under: uncultured bacterium
Lineage: Bacteria
Description: partial 16S ribosomal RNA
Rfam family: Bacterial small subunit ribosomal RNA
Source: RNAcentral